Molecule: ribosomal RNA, 253 nt
Filed under: uncultured bacterium
Lineage: Bacteria
Description: partial 16S ribosomal RNA
Rfam family: Bacterial small subunit ribosomal RNA
Source: RNAcentral
UACGUAGGGGGCGAGCGUUGUCCGGAUUUAUUGGGCGUAAAGCGCGCGUAGGCGGUUCGUUAAGUCGGAUGUGAAAAUCCGGGGCUCAACCCCGGACCUGCAUCCGAUACUGGCGGACUGGAGGCAGGCAGGGGAGAUCGGAAUUCCUGGUGUAGCGGUGAAACGCGCAGAUAUCAGGAGGAACACCGGUGGCGAAGGCGGUUCUCUGGGCCUUACCUGACGCUGAGGAGCGAAAGCGUGGGGAGCGAACAGG